RNAcentral lists this long non-coding RNA (403 nucleotides) under Trifolium pratense (red clover). RNAcentral's name for it is "long non-coding RNA (TPRA_LNC009543)". The record is from RNAcentral. Lineage: Eukaryota; Viridiplantae; Streptophyta; Magnoliopsida; Fabales; Fabaceae.
AAAGAUAAUUAGAUUCUGCCAUAAAUAAACUAGAGUUGCUGGACUAUUACUUUGGGUAGGAGAUUGGGGCUUCAUUAUAAUGUUAAGUCAAGGCUUAACAUCUACCUAAUGUUUUGACCAUAUAGUUUUGAUGUUAUUUUCUUUUUUGAUUGUGCUUCUGUCAUAUAUAAUGGAAUGCAACUCCUUCUAUAAUAUCAUCAAUGUUUAAAAAAUUUAGGCAAGACGAAGAAGCGUGGGAAUAGUAUACUGUUUGACAACGAGGGCUCUGAACGGUGUAAAGUUCGGCAAUUGUGUGAUUGUAUAUAAACUCUGAAUGCAAUUGUCUGCAUUCAUUCAACAUGUAAAGAAGAAGGGAACGACUGUGAAUGGUGCCGCGGUGGAGUAAUGAACAAGAAAGAGGUCG